GCUGGCGAUGCUUCAUUCAAAUAUCUGCCCUAUCAACUUUCGAUGGUAGGAUAGUGGCCUACCAUGGUUUCAACGGGUAACGGGGAAUAAGGGUUCGAUUCCGGAGAGGGAGCCUGAGAAACGGCUACCACAUCCAAGGAAGGCAGCAGGCGCGCAAAUUACCCAAUCCCGACACGGGGAGGUAGUGACAAUAAAUAACAAUAUAGGGCUCUUUCGGGUCUUAUAAUUGGAAUGAGUACAAUUUAAAUCCCUUAACGAGGAACAAUUGGAGGGCAAGUCUGGUGCCAGCAGCCGCGGUAAUUCCCAGCUCCA
RNAcentral lists this ribosomal RNA (312 nucleotides) under uncultured fungus. RNAcentral describes it as "SSU rRNA". It matches the Rfam family "Eukaryotic small subunit ribosomal RNA", at positions 283 to 593 of the family's 1831-position model. The record is from RNAcentral. Lineage: Eukaryota; Fungi.